CAAGUACAAUCACUGUAUUACAAGUAAUCCCCCCUUUACACUUCACCCCUAGGGGUAUUUAUACAACUUCCUAACACGAAUCGACCUGAUGGAUCCGAUAUACUUGGGACGCCUUCUUUGGGGUGUCAACUGCUCGAGUUAAUGGGUCUUUUAAGCCGGUCGGCCAAAUGUUCGUAGGGCUUAUGGAGCCGUCCGGACCAUUCAAACAGUUUAACGUCCUUGGAAUGAUCUGGGCUUUCCGCUGUUCGUCUUACUGGACCGGGGCUUCUUCGUGGGCCUGGGCUGGUAACUUGGGGGUACCAUCAGUACUCCCCCCCUCUUCCUAUAAAUAGGCUACUUUUCUUUAUUUGGUUCAUUUUCUCCUCCUUUUAUCAUGUCUUCUCUUGAUGAUUUGUUGCAGGAGCUGGGCUACGAGUUGGCACGUCAGCAAGGUAUUUGGCCAGAUGAUCUUCUUCAACACCUCUGUGAUAUUGAAGAUUUUACUGUGGGUAAUUCUCGUUUGUCCCAACUGGUCUCAGAAGUCUCGCAUCGCGUUCGCGCUCUUCAGCAAGUCAGCAAUGGUACCGGUGUUGUUGUUCCAACUGCGGCAACUGUUUCCCGCAACCGUCGGUCUGCUACUCCGUUCGGUCCUGCUAUCCCUGCUACUGUCUUUUGCGUUGCCUCUGCUCCUCCCCCCUCCCCUGGGGCUCCUGUGCCUGCGUCUACUGAGCAUUUGUUGACUGAACGCUCCAUUGCCCCUGCUCCUCGCCGUCGUCGGGGACGUGGACCACGUGCCGGUCGUUCAGGGCCUCCUCCAGGCGAUCUCCGUUACUUUUUAUCACGAGGCCCACCUUGAUGGGUUUCUUUCAUUUGUGUUUUGUGUUCUGUUUUGAAUGUUUCUUUUGUUCCCUGCAGUUCUUGUGACUUCUACAAACUCAUUUGUGCCUCUCUUACGUACUGAUGUAAUUUUUCUUUUUUAGCAAAUUUUCUCUUCGUAUGAAUGGCUUCUUUGUUCGUGCUUAUUGAAUGUAACUACUUGUUGAUUAGGCAUUUGGCAACUUCCAACUUUCUACUACGAUCUUAACUUCCCUCGGCACUUUGAUUACCACGUUUUCUACAACUGUUUUCCCCACGGGCAGGUAUUCUUGCUUUUUCUUUAAGGUCAUGUUGCUAUCCUGGUGAAAUUCCCUUCUUUUUCGUUGUGGUUACCUUUCUUCAGGCAUCCUCCCUACGGUCCUUCUGCCCUCUCCUUAAACAACCGAUCUCGCCUUCUAUACUACUCGGUCGAUCCAGUUCCGUUUCUUUCCAAGUAUCCUCCGUAUGGCAACUUCGACCCUCCUUUUGAUGUCCGAGCUUAUGUUUCUGAGAAAAUGUGCCUAUCUUUCCGUACGGUUUAUCCGUCCUUCGGGUAUGAAAAAAUUUAAUUUCCCGCCAAAAAAGCUUCUAUAUAUAGUCUCUUUCUCCUUCAUUCUUCCUCACUUCUCUCCUUUUUCAGUAGGGUUUGUCCUCCAUUAGUCGCCGCAGCCUCUCCCAUGGCCGAUCUCGAUCAAUUCCUAGACGGUAUCCCUGGUUUCCACGGUAACUUUCUAAACUCCUCUGAGGAUCCUCCCUCCAUACUUAGUAGGCGGCAAGCCCGUCGUCAUUUCCAGGUGAUCGCUCCUUCUGUGGCGAUAGCUCAUCUGGAAGUGCCAAACGAUGCCUCUGCCUCUUCACCUCCUGAUGGCUAUACUGCCCUCUAUUCGGGUUUUGAGGAUCUAGGGCUUCGGCUUCCUGCUUCCCCUUUUCUCUUAUCUUUUCUUUCGUAUACUGGUGUUGCUAUUUCCCAACUUUCUCCUUCUAGUUUAGACCGCGUCCUUUCGUUCGAACAUUUGUGUCACGAACUAGAUCUGAAGCCCUUCGAGCGUGUUUUCCGUCUGUUUUUUUCAAUCUCACGUCCCAAUUCCGCACGGCUUUUAGUUUCUUCUAAGAUAAGGCAUAAACUUCUUGUUUCUUAUCCUGACCGCUCACAUCGGUGGAAGAGCCGCUAUUUUUUUGUAAAAAGCCAUUCCGUGGGGUUGUCUGAGGUUCCUUCCAAGUGGGUAGACACCUCUUCCUUCGAAGCUGGGAAUCUCUCCGUAGGGGAACUUUCUCCGGAAGAGCACUAUGUGUAUUCCCGCCUACUAUCUGUCCGUUCGGAUCCCAUUGAUUAUUCUAGUUUGAUGGCCGGGACUUGGAAAUCCGUUCAUCCGCAUCUCGUCCCCUCUGGUAAUUUACAUUUGACUGUUAAUUUUUCCUUUUUUCAGGCGAAUCUGACGGAGAAGGUUUGUCGGGCUUGUUUGCAGGGUCCGGAUCACGGAGGAGCAAUAAGAGAGCCCGUGCGGAAGUAGUUGACAAUGCUGCUGAUUCUUCCAACACUCUUCCUGAUGAUUAUACCAAGUACAUUAACUUUUCUGAUGAUGGGAAUAAUCAAGGCUUUGGAGACCGUCUGAUUGUGACUGAGCAUAUGCAAGCCCCUCGGAUUGCUGGGAUCUACGAACAGGCGCUCGGCCAAUUGGAUUCCGUGGUGAAGAAGGAGGCCGACUGGGCGACCUUGACAAAUACCGCUCUCGAUGACAUUGAUGAAGCGUGCUAUAUCCGGGUUCUUCAGUCCGUUGCUAUGGAGCGUCACCGACAGCAAAGGGGGAUGGAACGGACGCGUGAGCUUAAUGAUGCUUUGGCCGAGGUUACUCGCUUGACCCAGGCGCUUUCCCUGAAGGAUACUGAGAUUGAGUCCCUUCGGACUGAGAGGGACGAGAAGGGCAUUGAGGUUGAGUCCCUUCGGACUGAGAGGGACGAGAAGGCUGCCCAGGUUGCGUCUAUGGAAGCAAAUAUUGAACGAGCCAAGGUGAAAUUUACUGAACAAGUCAAGAAUUUGACCGAGCGGAAUAAGCGUGCUUGUUUCAAGAAUUUUGUUGAAGGCAUGGUUCACGGACGGGAUAUGGUGAACCUCCGUAGUCCUGAAUAUGAAUCGACCGUCGUUCCUAUUAACCCACCCAUGUGGGAACAAUGGCAAGUGACCGGGAUCCCUACGGAGCAUCCGCCCUGGCCCAAGACUCUCUCCGAGUUGUCGGGACAUGAUAACCAAUAGUUUAAGUUUUUUAUUUUUGAGAAAAGAACAAUUAAAACGUACCUUUUUGUAACUUGAAUUUUUAUCCCGUGCUUUUGCUUAUCAUUCUCCUGUCUUUGUUUCCCUGCAAACAUUUAUAAUUGUUCCAAGAUGCUUCUUUUAAUUAAUAUUCCUUACGAUUUUAUUGCCCUAAGGCUUUGUUGUGGUUUUUUUUUGUACAAUAAUUUGUUACUCUUUUUUUUUGUUCUUACAUACAAUCACUUCUACUGGAAAUACUUAGAUAGAUUGUCAGAGUGCCAUGUUCUCUCUAUUUUCUGACCGUCCUCAAAUGCUAAUCUGUAUAUUCCCGGACGGACUUCCUCCACGACUACAUACGGUCCCUCCCAUUUUGGAGAUAACUUCCCUUUAGUUUGGUCCAGUCCGGUGAUUCUUCCGUUUCUUAAUACCAAGUCUCCUGAAUUUAUCUUCUUCUCAUUCACUCUUUGGUUAUGGUAUCUUGCCGCCUUCCUUUUAUAGGUCAAAUCCCUUAUUGCCGCCAUUUCUCUUAAUUCUUCACACUUUUCUCUGGCUAGUAAGAUGGCCAGGUUGUUAUCUUCUGGGUUAAAAUUCGUUACCCUUGCUGUUGGCCACACCACUUCCGCCGGGGCCACUGCGUCCAAUCCGAAUGCCAAUGUAAAUGGUGGAUGUCCUGUCGGAGUACGUACGGUUGUUCUGUAUGCCCACAUUGUUUCUGGUACUAAAUCUGCCCAUGUUCCCGGAUUAUCGCUUACUUUUCUUUUGAGAAUGGAUGUUAUCGUCCUGUUUGUGACCUCAACUUGUCCGUUAGCUUGUGGAUGAUACACUGGGGCGAAGCUCAUCUUUAUACCACUAUCCUCACAAAAUUUCUUUACUUUUUCCCCGUAAAUUGUGUUCCAUUGUCUGUUAUUAUUUGUAAUGGAACCCCGAACCUGCAGAUUAUGUUUCUAAAAAUGAACUGGAUGACGUUUUGUUCCGAUAUUGCGCUUGUUGGUUCAGCCUCAGCCCAUUUAGUGAAGUAGUCAACCGCCACGAAUAAGAAUUUUCGACCUCUUGAUGCUACCGGAAAUGGGCCGACUAUGUCUAAACCCCAUCGAGCAAAUGGUACUGGUGUAACCACAGGAUUCAUUAUACUGGACGGCCUCCUCUGGAUGUUUGCAUGCCUUUGGCAUUCGUUGCAACUUCUUACUAGUUCUUCAGCAUCUUUUCUUAUUUGUGGCCAAUAGUAGCCCUGUCUCACCACCUGUUUUUCCAACAUUUUUGCCCCCUGAUGUGGCCCGCACGCUCCUUUAUGUGCGCUUGUUAAUAUUUCUUUUCCUUCUUCAUGUGUAACACAAAUCCGUAGGGGAAUACUGUCCUCCACUGCCCUACGGAAAAGAUCGUUUCCUACUGUUGUAAACCAGGCCGCUUUAUUUCUCAACUUUCUCUCCUCCAUCGCGUCCGUCGGGACUAUUCCUUUUGUAAUGUAAUUUUUUAUCGGUACUCUCCAAUCCUCCUUUACUGCCAGUGUCAGGAUUUUGUUUCUUUCACUUUUUGCUAUUGAUGGCACUUCCUGCCGUUCCACUCGAACCCAUCGCCCUUUUGGCACACUUGGGGACGCGCCCAAUCUUGCUAAAAUAUCUGCCUCUUUAUUUUCCGUGCGGCUUAUGUGAUGUAGUUCCCAUUCUGCGAAAUGUUGCAAUGUGUCACGUGCUGCUUCUGUGUAUCGACACAUCCCUUCUUCAUUUGACAUGAAUUCCCCAUUGACUUGAUUUGCUACUAACCGUGAAUCCGUAUGAAAUUUUGCCCUUCUGGCUCCUAACGCUUUUCCUAGUUGUGCCCCUGCUAUUAGUGCUUCAUACUCUGCUUCGUUGUUUGUUGUUUUGAAGUUAAAGUUAAUUGCGUGUUCUAUCUUUUCUUUCGUAGGUGUCUGGAUUAUUAUUCCUGCUCCGCACCCGGAAUUACUUGCCGAUCCAUCAACAUGAAUAAUCCACCAACUCUCAACUUCCUCCCCACUUGGUGUAAAUUCUGCCAAGAAAUCAGCGACUGCUUGUCCUUUGAUUGCUUUUGCUGGUACUAUACUUAUAUAAAAUUCGCUUAANNNNNNNNNNNNNNNNNNNNNNNNNNNNNNNNNNNNNNNNNNNNNNNNNNNNNNNNNNNNNNNNNNNNNNNNNNNNNNNNNNNNNNNNNNNNNNNNNNNNUGUCAAUCUGCCCGAUACAUCUGGCUUAUGCAACAACUGUAACAAUGGAAAUUCUGUUGGGAUGGUUAUUGGGUGUGCUUGGAAAUAAGGUUUUAACCUCCUUGCCGUUGUUACUAUUGCUAACCCCAGUUUCUCAAUUUGUGGAUACUUCUUCUCUGCUCCUUGUAAUGUGCGCGAGUAAUAAUAAAUUGGCCGUUGCGUACCAUCCCUUUCAGUCAUUAGUACCGUGCUAGUGGCAUUGUCGGAUGCGGCUAUGUAUAAUUUUAAUGGUUCCCCCGGGAACGGUGGUUGUAAGGUUGGUAAAUUCUUUAACUGCUCCUUAAGUUUUUGAAACGCUUCCUCGCAUUCUUCUGUCCAUGUUAUUUUCGGGCUCGACGAUUUUAUUAACUUGAAAAGAGGUUGUAAUGUGUCUGCCCCCCUUGCUAAGAACCUGCUUAAUGCAUUUACCUUUCCGUUGAGUUUCUGCACUUCUUUUAUUGUCUUUGGUGGGGUCAUUGCCAUUAUCGCCUCUACUUUUUCCGUACGGGCUUUUAUCCCGUAGGGAGUUAUUUUGAAGCCCAAAAAAUGCCCUUUCGUGACCCCGAAAGAACAUUUUUUUGCCUUCAAUCUUAAACCCGCUCUUCUGAUGUUAUCAAAAGUCUCCCUCAGGUCUGGUAAGUGCUCUGCAACUGUUUUGGAACAAACUAGGAUAUCGUCUACAUAUACNNNNNNNNNNNNNNNNNNNNNNNNNNNNNNNNNNNNNNNNNNNNNNNNNNNNNNNNNNNNNNNNNNNNNNNNNNNNNNNNNNNNNNNNNNNNNNNNNNNNNNNNNNNNNNNNNNNNNNNNNNNNNNNNNNNNNNNNNNNNNNNNNNNNNNNNNNNNNNNNNNNNNNNNNCCCGAAUGUGCAUCCAUGAAACUCAGUAAUUUGCAUCCUGAAGCUUGGUCGACCAAAUGGUCUACUGAUGGGAGUGGGUAUGAAUCUUUAGGGCAAACUUUAUUUACAUUUGUAAAAUCUACACACAUCCUCCAUCCUCCAUCUGCUUUUCUUACCAUUACCACAUUUGAUAGCCAUUCUGGGUAUUUUACAGGUCGAAUGAAAUUUGCAUCUAUCAGUUUCUGUACUUCUUCCGCUGCCGCCUCCUUCCUAUCUCCUCUUAGUGGUCUCAUCUUCUGCCUUACUGGUCGUACAUGCUUUCCUACUGCUAAUUUGUGUUCCGUGAGGCUCCGGUCGAUCCCUUUGAGUUCCGUUACAUCUUUGGCGAACAGAUCUUCGUUCUCUUUGAGUAGUUUCACGAUAUCAUUCUUGACUUCUUGCGGGAGGUCAGCACCCACUUGUACAUUGCCACCAUUUAAUUCUACUACUAUCAUAUCUGAAGCCGACUUGAACUUUGGACGUUCUUCCUUGACAGUAUGUGGGAGUUUGUUCUUUUCUUCCGCUGCAGUCAUUACUUGCCCUGUCGAGUUUAUAUAACAUUCCCUCGCUUUUUUCUGUGAUCCUUUAACUGUGCAUAUCCCUGCUUCCGAUGGGAAUUUCAAACAUUGGUGCAGAGAAGAUGUUACUGCCCCAAACGCAUGUAAUGCUAUCCUUCCUAAUAUUGCAUUGUACCCCGAUGAAAAUGGCACCACCGAGAACUUCGCUAUCAUUGUUGUCUCUUGUGCGAACUUUCCCAAUGUUAUUGGGAUGUCUAUUGUCCCCAGCAUUUGGACUUCUCCUUGGCCGAACCCAGUAAUUGGUGUGCCACACGGGCCCAAAUCCGCCCUGCAAAAUCCCAAUUGAUCAAAUGCGCUCCAAUAUAACACAUCUACUGAAGCUCCUGUGUCCACUAGCACUCUGUUUAGUCUAAUCCUUUCCUUGUCCUCCCUCCGUACAAUAGGUGUUAUGACCAAUGGGUCAUGAUGUGGAACUGUGAUUCCUGUCAAGUCCUCAUUUGAAAAACGAAUAUCCUCCCCUGCUUUAAUUUUUUUUAUUAUUCCAUCCGUCCGGCUAAGAUCCUCUGCGUACCUUUUUCCUUCGAAUCCUGUUCCUCCUCUGGCUGCUUCUCCUCCUGAUAUUGCUAAUAUUUCCCUGAUAUUCCUUCCAUCCUGAUCUUCCCUGCGGUUCUGAUAUCCUGACGUUCUAAUUUCCCUGUGGUCUUCAUGUCCUGCAGGCGCUGGUGCUGUUCGUCGCGGUGGAGAAGGUAACCUUUGACGUACGGGGAGCGAGCCCUGCCGCUCUUGUACUCUUUCUAAUUCUUUUGCCAGAAUCCAACAUUCGGCUGUUGUAUGUCCUAUGUCUUCAUGAUAUUCACAAUACAAGUGUGGAUUUCUGUUAACUGCUGUUUCCGUACGCAUUGGUCGUGGUUCCGGAAGUAUCCUUUCUCCCCUUAACGCUAAAAACACCUGUCGUUGGUUUGGAAACGGGGUGACCCUUUGUGGACCGUAAUUGAUGAAGUUUUCCCUUGGGAAAGGGGCCCUCCUUGCAUUAUCUUCUAACACCUCUCUGUUUUGUGAUCGGGCUUCCAGUCUCGGCUGCUUUUGCUGUGCAUUUUGAUCGUACUGGCCUUUCGGUCUUUGACGUAUCUGCUUAUAUUUUGCUUCGUGGUAAUCUUCUACGUUUGAUUCUUUAUACGAUCUCUCCAUAGCUUCUGCAAACGUUGAUGGGAGAUCCCUUACCAAAUCCCCUGAGAAUCUGGUCGGUCUUAAUCCGUUAACUAGUGCCAUCAGUAUUCCUUCCUCCGAGCAAACGACUUUUUGAACUGCCAUUGCAAAUCGAUCCAUAUAUUCUCGCGUUGACUCACGUUCUCCCUGUACCACUGUUAAUAAAGUUGUGUUUAAACCUUUGCGCCUUAUUUUAUGCCCAAAGGCAAUUUUGAACGAUUUUUCCAAGUCUUUGAAUGAAUUGAUACUUCCCACCGGAAGGUUUCUGUACCAACCCACUGCUUCUCCCUUCAAAGUUCUUCUAAACAUACGACACCAGAUGUCUCUUCGCCCAGUAGUAUCCUCCAUUUCCAUACGGAACGAGUGAACAUGAUCUUCAGGAUCCGUUGUACCAUCAUAUGAUGUCAUUUUUGGGGCUCUCCACCCUGUCGGAUAACCUUCCACUAAAAGAUGUCGCGCUAAAGCUUCUUCGUUGUCCGCUGGUGUUAAUUGGUCCAGAUAACCAAUUGAUGGUUGUAUAGGAACGUUCUCAUGUAUGCUUCUAUUUGCCAUUGACACAAUUUGUUCCUGAAGUUGCCUUUGAUUGUUUUGCAAAUCCGCGAUAAUUGACAUUAGUUGACUUUCUCUUGGUUCCCGCAAUAUGGGAAACGCUCUCCCAUAUCCUUGGUCAUUUCUAUGUUCUGGUGAUCUUGAUCGGCUUUGCUCCGACCAACUUGCAUCCAUCCCAUCUUCCGGUAUUGCCUCUUCAAAGAAUCGGGAAUUUUCGCGCGUACGCUGCUGGGGGUGAUAAGGUGCUUCUUCGAUAUUUUCUUCUAAACGCACCUGUUCACCCACUCCUUGGCUUUCACGAGUAACUGUUGACAGUCGAUUCCCAUAUGUUUCUACCGCCCCGUUUUCCAGACUUCCCUCUACUUGAAUUUCCCGUUCCGGUUGCUCUGCAUCCAUCUUCUCGUGUUCGUGUUCGAUUCACGUCAGGUUCACCACUGAUCGUGACCCUCUAGGAAGAAGGUCGAUCUUAUCUACUAUAGUAUAAUUCCAAGUAUUCCACAAGUAUCAUCACAAUGUAUCACAAGUAUAAUCACUGUAUUACAAGUAAUUCCCCCCCUUUUACACUUCACCCCUAGGGGUAUUUAUACAACUUCCUAACACGAAUCGACCUGAUGGAUCCGAUAUACUUGGGACGCCUUCUUUGGGGUGUCAACUGCUCGAGUUAAUGGGUCUUUUAAGCCGGUCGGCCAAAUGUUCGUAGGGCUUAUGGAGCCGUCCGGACCAUUCAAACAGUUUAACGUCUUUGGAAUGAUCUGGGCUUUCCGCUGUGUCUUACUGGACCGGGGCUUCUUCGUGGGCCUGGG
This 9227-nucleotide long non-coding RNA is filed under the name Zostera marina. RNAcentral describes it as "long non-coding RNA (ZMAR_LNC000623)". The record is from RNAcentral. Lineage: Eukaryota; Viridiplantae; Streptophyta; Magnoliopsida; Alismatales; Zosteraceae.